CGAGACAGUACUAAUUAGCAAUUUGAUUUGUAUUUAGACUUCUUAAUCCUCGGGUUAUCUCACCCGUCCACAAAUAUAUCUUGGCUUCAGAAAAAAGAACACGUCUUCUCGGUAAACAAACACCAACACUUAUCUAUUUCCGUUCUCGUUCACACUAGCGCGUUAAAACCGGUUAACUAUUGAAGCAGUCAAAACCGGACGUAUUACAUGGCUUUAACUGUGUGUUUUCUAGGACUUACGCGUUGACCAAUGGCUACAAUUUCGAAAAAACUGGGCCGGUGACUGGUUACUGUAACUUUUCGUGUUACAUAUCGACCUGCUACUGCCGGUCGGCAUCAAACCCAGCCCCUCUCCAUUUAAACAACACAAUGACAAACAUCAUCAACUCCUCUUUGCACCAUAAUUAGUCCUCUUUGCUCUCUCCUUUUCUCAUCGCCUCUCUUCUGUAUUGGUUUUAUAUUAUACUUUUUCUUGUCCAUCUCUGUUUUGGCUCGAAUACUCUGUUUUAAACAUUGAGUUUUAGUUACUUUAUUGAAAAGAGAGCAAUGGAGUCUACAGAUUUCUUGACGACUAGUUUUUACCACCCGUCGCCUCAAAGCGUUUGGGAUUUAGCCAUUUAGGAGAUUUCGCUGCGACCGAGAGGGAUUCAUUUGAGCUAUUAGAUUCUCAGCGACAUCAUCAGCUUCAGGACAUUGCUGCUGCUUCACCUCAUUUAUUCCUUCUUGAAACGCUCCAACAGCAAACGCAACCGAUUAUUAAAGUGUCUUCUUGAAUCUUGUGAUUCAGCUAACUUUCAAGCCGCACCGUCAAACCCGACUGCAGAUAAAACAGUGACAUCAAGGGUGGAAUCUUUGUCUUCGGAACAUUUGUUGAUAAAUUCACCGGCGAAACCUAACUCGUCCUCUAUUUCUUCGGCGUCAAGCGAGGCUGUAAACGAAGACAAAGCUAAAAGAGAAGAAGAAGAGGGACAUAAGAAGAGUGAUACUAAUAAACAAUAAGUUUCUCAUCUUUGUCUCGUUGAAAGUUUAUAUAUAUUUUCUUAGAGAUAAAAGGGUUUCAUAAAGCAGUGACAAAAAAAAAAAAAAGGGUUUCAUAAAGUAAAGCAUUUUAAAUGUAUAUAUGUUUAUGUUUUAUUGUGUAUGAUCAUCAGACUGAAGCCCAAGAAGAAUAGUUUGAAGAGACAAAGAGAGGCAAGAGUGGCCUUCAUGACAAAGAGUGAGGUUGAUCAUCUCGAAGAUGUUAUCGCUAGAGAAAAUAUGGUCAGAAAGCUGUCAAAAACAGUCCGUUUCCUAGGAGUUACUACCGUUGCACAACAGCUUCAUGUAAUGUGAAGAAGAGAGUAGAGAGAUCGUUCAGAGAUCCAAGCAUUCAGAGAUCCAAGCAUUGUGGUUACGAUCUACGAAGGUCAGCACACACACACACACAUUAGUCCACUCAUAUCUCGUCCAAACCCCGGUGGAGGCUUCUUCGGAUCAUCAGGAGUUGCUUGAUAGUUGACACCAAACUGUAAAGUCUUUUUAAUGGUUGUGAAAAUAGCAGUACGCGAUCAAAGUUUGUGUAGUCCCCUAAGUGCAUAGACUUGUUAGAAAAGGGUAAAAAACAAGAACAAAUCCCACAAUGAAAUGAAAGAAAAGUAAAAAGAAGAUUACCAUGCUUACUAACUUUCUUCUUUUUGCUACUUUUGCUAUUUUUGUAGCCAUGUGUGUGUGUGUGAAAAUGUUCAAUAGA
This is a long non-coding RNA of Raphanus sativus (radish), 1728 nucleotides long. RefSeq lists it as uncharacterized. Lineage: Eukaryota; Viridiplantae; Streptophyta; Magnoliopsida; Brassicales; Brassicaceae. The record is from RefSeq and is a predicted model, not a curated record. The transcript has 3 exons.